This 531-nucleotide ribosomal RNA is filed under the name uncultured bacterium. Its description in RNAcentral is "bacterial SSU rRNA". It matches the Rfam family "Bacterial small subunit ribosomal RNA", at positions 338 to 866 of the family's 1533-position model. The record is from RNAcentral.
CCUACGGGAGGCAGCAGUAAGGAAUAUUGGACAAUGGGCGCAAGCCUGAUCCAGCCAUGCCGCGUGAAGGAUUAAGGUCCUCUGGAUUGUAAACUUCUUUUAUAGGGGACGAAAAAAGGGCAUUCUUGUUCACUUGACGGUACCCUAUGAAUAAGCACCGGCUAACUCCGUGCCAGCAGCCGCGGUAAUACGGGGGGUGCAAGCGUUAUCCGGAUUCACUGGGUUUAAAGGGUGCGUAGGCGGGCAGGUAAGUCAGUGGUGAAAUCCUAGAGCUUAACUCUAGAACUGCCAUUGAUACUAUCUGUCUUGAAUAUUGUGGAGGUAAGCGGAAUAUGUCAUGUAGCGGUGAAAUGCUUAGAUAUGACAUAGAACACCUAUUGCGAAGGCAGCUUACUACGCAUAUAUUGACGCUGAGGCACGAAAGCGUGGGGAUCAAACAGGAUUAGAUACCCUGGUAGUCCCACGACCUAACCGACUAGAUACUACGACAUACGCGAUACACUGUGUGUGUGUGAGNGAAGACGAUAAGUA